UACAGAGGUGGCAAGCGUUGUUCGGAAUUACUGGGCGUAAAGGGCGCGUAGGCGGCCCGUCAAGUCCCGUGUGAAAGCCCCCGGCUCAACCGGGGAACGGCGCGGGAAACUAGCAGGCUUGAGUUCGGGAGAGGGAAGCGGAAUUCCGGGUGUAGCGGUGAAAUGCGCAGAUAUCCGGAGGAACACCGGUGGCGAAGGCGGUUCUCUGGGCAUUACCUGACGCUGAGGAGCGAAAGCGUGGGGAGCGAACAGG
RNAcentral lists this ribosomal RNA (253 nucleotides) under uncultured bacterium. RNAcentral describes it as "partial 16S ribosomal RNA". It matches the Rfam family "Bacterial small subunit ribosomal RNA", at positions 524 to 776 of the family's 1533-position model. The record is from RNAcentral.